This 1257-nucleotide long non-coding RNA is filed under the name Anas platyrhynchos platyrhynchos (common mallard). RNAcentral describes it as "lncRNA (ENSAPLG00000024030.1)". Lineage: Eukaryota; Metazoa; Chordata; Aves; Anseriformes; Anatidae. The record is from RNAcentral.
GCCAGAAAGAUAGAGCCAGAAGAGAUGUUAAAGCUACAGCAAGUAAUCAAAGAUGCCAAAAAGUGCUUUUAGAAAGUGGAUUAAAUUGGUUAUAAUAUGUGAACAUCCCCCAAAGUUGUAUUUAUUAUAGUGAAAAAUGUCAAUUCUCUAAAAUUAGGUCAUUAUGAAAAAUGAGUCGUCUCCAAUUCUCUUUUCCCUCCAAGAUAAUGAAAUGGUACUCCUUAGUAAAAAGAAUCUUCUCUACCUAGACCCUAAGGACAAUAUUAUCCUCCCACAUAUUGGGGCAUAUAUUAUUGCAAGUCUCAAAAGCAACUGUGCUGCACUUUCUAAGCACAUGCUCCUGGGGUGAGGGGAGUCACCUAUCUAGAGAACAGCUGUCAUCUCCAAAUGAGAACCCUCUGAAAACUUAGUUGGGAAAUUUUCAUGGAAAAAACCUUUAUAAUCACUUGGCACAGCAGACAAUGAAUGUUUUUCACUGCUCUGCUCCAUUCAGGUUUAUCUCCCACGGCCUUGGUUGCUGUGCUAUCUCAAUGUUGAUUUACAGCAGAGUAACCAAAGCAUGUGAAAUAUGUCUAGGUAAAGUCAGGUAAAUACCUUCUGUUGUGGAUACAGGGGAAGGACACAAGUGCUGCUUAAUUACAUCUAUUAGCUGAGUGAGUAUAGCUGAAUACAUUCAAUUUAAAAUGCUACUGCUCUUAGUUGCUUUCUCUGUUCCAUUGGUGAGCAACACUGAAGCCACAAAGCAUCACCAGACAAGAAUGUUCCAUAUGCUCCAGCACAAGGCACAGAAUUUUCAAUAUUUACCGCAGCUGCAGCAGUUCAUUCCUGGGAAACAUGGGAGGAAAAAGCAAUUGGCACAGAAGGAAAAUCGUAACAAUAUCAAGAAGGAAAGUGAACACGAUGUCAAAAACCAACUAUCACCAAAGCCAAAAUUAAUAGGAUGUGUAAGGAAAGGCAGUUAAAAUUUAUUACGACAAAGAUUUCCAAAACUCUGUAUUGUACAUGCUGUAGAAAUAUUUUCUAUCCAUGAAUUUGUUUCCCCAAGCUUUAUAUCUUUAAAAUUUAAUUUCUCUCUCCCUCUCUUCCUUUUUUUCUUUUUUUCUUCCUACUUAUGAUUUUGCUUUCCAGUUUCAAAACCACAUUUGUAAAAGAAAAUGAAUUUCACUCUGAUGUUGCACUCUUGUAAUAUUUGGUGAUUGUUUUAAAAAAUAUUGUAUCUGCUGAAAAUUAAUAAAACUCAGCAAAUUUUUGGUUUCA